AACAGGUUAAAGAAUGGUGAAGAAGUUUCAUCAGAUGAUCAUAUAAAACUAAGUGAAGAUGAUGAUGGUAAUGUGCAAUUAAUCAUUGAUAGUUCUAUCCCAGAGGACACUGGGAAAUAUGCAGUAUUUGCUGUGAAUGAAGCUGGAGAUGUCAGCACUGUUGCCAAACUAACAGUUAAAAAUCCCUCAGUGCAUAAACCAGAAAUUAAGGAUGGAUUGAAAGCAACAGAAUUUAUAGAAGAUCAUCCAGGUUGUCUAGAAAUUCAGAUUAGUGCUGAACCAAAAGCCAAAGUCAAGUGGACAAAAGAUGGCCAAGAACUUGUACCCAGUGAACAUUUUACUAUUGUUGAAGAACCAGAUGGGAUUGUAGCAUUAAUCAUUGAUAAGGUGACACCACAAGAUGCAGGAAAAUAUGCUGUAAUCAUUUACAAUGAUGAAGGAACAGCAGAGAGUGAAGCCAGGGUGACAAGUAAGUAGUAAUUUGAGAAA
Limulus polyphemus (Atlantic horseshoe crab) is the source of this 489-nucleotide long non-coding RNA. RefSeq lists it as uncharacterized. Lineage: Eukaryota; Metazoa; Arthropoda; Merostomata; Xiphosura; Limulidae. The transcript has 4 exons. The record is from RefSeq and is a predicted model, not a curated record.